AAAAAAAACAUUUCUUUUUCUGUGAAAAAAAAAAAAACUUUUUUUUUAUAAAUAUUUUUUAAAAAGA
Molecule: transfer RNA, 67 nt
Filed under: Apocheima cinerarius
Lineage: Eukaryota; Metazoa; Arthropoda; Insecta; Lepidoptera; Geometridae
Description: tRNA-Glu
Source: RNAcentral